Molecule: transfer RNA, 76 nt
Filed under: Mycoplasmoides fastidiosum
Lineage: Bacteria; Bacillati; Mycoplasmatota; Mycoplasmoidales; Mycoplasmoidaceae
Description: tRNA-His
Rfam family: tRNA
About the family: Transfer RNA (tRNA) molecules are approximately 80 nucleotides in length. Their secondary structure includes four short double-helical elements and three loops (D, anti-codon, and T loops).
Source: RNAcentral
GCGAUUGUGGUGAAGUGGCUAACACACCUGAUUGUGGUUCAGGCAUUCGCGGGUUCAAUUCCCGUCAUUCGCCCCA